GGGGUUGUAGCUCAGUGGUGGAGCACUCACCUAGCACAUGUGAGGCCCUGGGUUCAAUCCUCAGCACCA
Molecule: transfer RNA, 69 nt
Filed under: Ictidomys tridecemlineatus (thirteen-lined ground squirrel)
Lineage: Eukaryota; Metazoa; Chordata; Mammalia; Rodentia; Sciuridae
Description: Spermophilus tridecemlineatus (thirteen-lined ground squirrel) tRNA
Rfam family: tRNA
About the family: Transfer RNA (tRNA) molecules are approximately 80 nucleotides in length. Their secondary structure includes four short double-helical elements and three loops (D, anti-codon, and T loops).
Source: Rfam by way of RNAcentral